RNAcentral lists this small RNA (125 nucleotides) under Marmota monax (woodchuck). Lineage: Eukaryota; Metazoa; Chordata; Mammalia; Rodentia; Sciuridae. The record is from RNAcentral.
GCUGGGUGUGGUGACAUACACCUGUAAUCCCAGCAACUUGGGAGGCAGAGGCAGGAGGAUAUUGAGUGAAGCCAGCCUCAGCAAUUUAGCAAGGUGCUAAGCAACUCAGUGAGACCCUGUCUCUA